AAACCCUACACUUAAGCAAAAAAAAAACAACAGAUUGACCCAAAAACCAAAACCUCACUCCUCACUCUUGACAACGCUCCACGCUCUCUCGAAAGAAACCCGGAACCUUUGCUCUCUUCUUCGACAAAGCUCUCUCUCUCUCUCUCUCUUUCUCUCUCUCUCUCUCUCUCUUUCCUAGACAAACCCCGACCUCUCCUGUCUACAAACCCUAUCUCUUCUUCAACAAACCCCAACCAAAGUGCUCUCUCUCUUCGACAAAAGACCAAAACCUAAUGGGUUAUUCGAGCUCUACUCCAACUGGGCUCAGGCCAACAUCAAAUCCAAAAAUCUCACAGAUCUUUCGACAGUGGUGUGUUGCAUUUGGCUAAAUCGAAAUUCAGUUAUGGGUAACUGAGAUUUGAAUUCGAACAAUGGAGUUGUGGAUUUGGGAUUGAAGGCAAAAUGUCAAAUUGGGGCUAAGAAGGUUUCUGGAGUUGUGAUGCUGCUGCCGAUGGGGCUCUUGG
Molecule: long non-coding RNA, 503 nt
Organism: Rosa chinensis
Lineage: Eukaryota; Viridiplantae; Streptophyta; Magnoliopsida; Rosales; Rosaceae
Exons: 3
Source: RefSeq, a predicted model, not a curated record